GGGGGUUUAGCUCAGCUGGGAGAGCGCCUGCCUUGCAAGCAGGAGGUCAGCGGUUCGAACCCGCUAAUCUCCACCA
RNAcentral lists this transfer RNA (76 nucleotides) under Oscillibacter valericigenes. RNAcentral describes it as "tRNA-Ala". It matches the Rfam family "tRNA". Rfam says of the family: Transfer RNA (tRNA) molecules are approximately 80 nucleotides in length. Their secondary structure includes four short double-helical elements and three loops (D, anti-codon, and T loops). Further hydrogen bonds mediate the characteristic L-shaped molecular structure. tRNAs have two regions of fundamental functional importance: the anti-codon, which is responsible for specific mRNA codon recognition, and the 3' end, to which the tRNAs corresponding amino acid is attached (by aminoacyl-tRNA synthetases). tRNAs cope with the degeneracy of the genetic code in two manners: having more than one tRNA (with a specific anti-codon) for a particular amino acid; and 'wobble' base-pairing, i.e. permitting non-standard base-pairing at the 3rd anti-codon position. The record is from RNAcentral. RNAcentral also lists the same sequence under 3 other names. Lineage: Bacteria; Bacillati; Bacillota; Clostridia; Eubacteriales; Oscillospiraceae.